AGCCCUAUGGUGUAGUGGUCAAGCACGAGAGCCUUUGGAGCUCUAGACCUAGGUUCAAAUCCUGGUAGGGCUA
RNAcentral lists this transfer RNA (73 nucleotides) under Candidatus Woesearchaeota archaeon. RNAcentral's name for it is "tRNA-Gln". It matches the Rfam family "tRNA". Rfam says of the family: Transfer RNA (tRNA) molecules are approximately 80 nucleotides in length. Their secondary structure includes four short double-helical elements and three loops (D, anti-codon, and T loops). Further hydrogen bonds mediate the characteristic L-shaped molecular structure. tRNAs have two regions of fundamental functional importance: the anti-codon, which is responsible for specific mRNA codon recognition, and the 3' end, to which the tRNAs corresponding amino acid is attached (by aminoacyl-tRNA synthetases). tRNAs cope with the degeneracy of the genetic code in two manners: having more than one tRNA (with a specific anti-codon) for a particular amino acid; and 'wobble' base-pairing, i.e. permitting non-standard base-pairing at the 3rd anti-codon position. The record is from RNAcentral. Lineage: Archaea; Nanobdellati; Candidatus Woesearchaeota.